CCUACGGGUGGCAGCAGUGAGGAAUAUUGGUCAAUGGACGAGAGUCUGAACCAGCCAAGUAGCGUGAAGGAUGACUGCCCUAUGGGUUGUAAACUUCUUUUAUAUGGGAAUAAAAUGUUCCACGUGUGGGAUUUUGUAUGUACCAUAUGAAUAAGGAUCGGCUAACUCCGUGCCAGCAGCCGCGGUAAUACGGAGGAUCCGAGCGUUAUCCGGAUUUAUUGGGUUUAAAGGGAGCGUAGGUGGAUUGUUAAGUCAGUUGUGAAAGUUUGCGGCUCAACCGGAAAAUUGCAGUUGAAACUGGCAGUCUUGAGUACAGUAGAGGUGGGCGGAAUUCGUGGUGUAGCGGUGAAAUGCUUAGAUAUCACGAAGAACUCCGAUUGCGAAGGCAGUUCACUGGACUGCAACUGACACUGAGGCUCGAAAGUGUGGGUAUCAAACAGGAUGAGAUACCCGGGUAGUC
This 460-nucleotide ribosomal RNA is filed under the name uncultured bacterium. RNAcentral describes it as "partial 16S ribosomal RNA". It matches the Rfam family "Bacterial small subunit ribosomal RNA", at positions 338 to 795 of the family's 1533-position model. The record is from RNAcentral.